UACGUAGGGUGCGAGCGUUAAUCGGAAUUACUGGGCGUAAAGCGUGCGCAGGCGGUUUUUUAAGCCUGAUGUGAAAUCCCCGGGCUUAACCUGGGAAUGGCAUUUGGGACUGCAAGGCUCGAGUGCGGCAGAGGAGACUGGAAUUCCUGGUGUAGCAGUGAAAUGCGUAGAUAUCAGGAGGAACACCGAUGGCGAAGGCAGGUCUCUGGGCUGACACUGACGCUCAUGCACGAAAGCGUGGGGAGCAAACAGG
Molecule: ribosomal RNA, 253 nt
Filed under: uncultured bacterium
Lineage: Bacteria
Description: partial 16S ribosomal RNA
Rfam family: Bacterial small subunit ribosomal RNA
Source: RNAcentral